This 253-nucleotide ribosomal RNA is filed under the name uncultured bacterium. RNAcentral's name for it is "partial 16S ribosomal RNA". It matches the Rfam family "Bacterial small subunit ribosomal RNA", at positions 524 to 776 of the family's 1533-position model. The record is from RNAcentral.
UACGGAGGGGGCUAGCGUUGUUCGGAAUUACUGGGCGUAAAGCGCACGUAGGCGGCUUUGUAAGUUAGAGGUGAAAGCCCGGGGCUCAACUCCGGAAUUGCCUUUAAGACUGCAUCGCUAGAAUUGUGGAGAGGUGAGUGGAAUUCCGAGUGUAGAGGUGAAAUUCGUAGAUAUUCGGAAGAACACCAGUGGCGAAGGCGGCUCACUGGACCGGCAUUGACGCUGAUGUGCGAAAGCGUGGGGAGCAAACAGG